AGUGAACGCUGGCGGUAGGCCUAACACAUGCAAGUCGAACGGCAGCACAGUAAGAGCUUGCUCUUACGGGUGGCGAGUGGCGGACGGGUGAGGAAUACAUCGGAAUCUACUUUUUCGUGGGGGAUAACGUAGGGAAACUUACGCUAAUACCGCAUACGACCUACGGGUGAAAGCAGGGGAUCUUCGGACCUUGCGCGAUUGAAUGAGCCGAUGUCGGAUUAGCUAGUUGGCGAGGUAAAGGCCCACCAAGGCGACGAUCCGUAGCUGGUCUGAGAGGAUGAUCAGCCACACUGGAACUGAGACACGGUCCAGACUCCUACGGGAGGCAGCAGUGGGGAAUAUUGGACAAUGGGCGCAAGCCUGAUCCAGCCAUACCGCGUGGGUGAAGAAGGCCUUCGGGUUGCAAAGCCCUUUUGUUGGGAAAGAAAAGCAGCAGGUUAAUACCCCGCUGUUCUGACGGUACCCAAAGAAUAAGCACCGGCUAACUUCGUG
RNAcentral lists this ribosomal RNA (492 nucleotides) under uncultured bacterium. Its description in RNAcentral is "partial 16S ribosomal RNA". It matches the Rfam family "Bacterial small subunit ribosomal RNA", at positions 29 to 507 of the family's 1533-position model. The record is from RNAcentral.